RNAcentral lists this ribosomal RNA (497 nucleotides) under uncultured bacterium. Its description in RNAcentral is "partial 16S ribosomal RNA". It matches the Rfam family "Bacterial small subunit ribosomal RNA", at positions 28 to 507 of the family's 1533-position model. The record is from RNAcentral.
GAUGAACGCUGGCGGCGUGCCUAAUACAUGCAAGUCGAGCGAACAGACGAGGAGCUUGCUCCUCUGACGUUAGCGGCGGACGGGUGAGUAACACGUGGAUAACCUACCUAUAAGACUGGGAUAACUUCGGGAAACCGGAGCUAAUACCGGAUAAUAUAUUGAACCGCAUGGUUCAAUAGUGAAAGACGGUUUUGCUGUCACUUAUAGAUGGAUCCGCGCCGCAUUAGCUAGUUGGUAAGGUAACGGCUUACCAAGGCAACGAUGCGUAGCCGACCUGAGAGGGUGAUAGGCCACACUGGAACUGAGACACGGUCCAGACUCCUACGGGAGGCAGCAGUAGGGAAUCUUCCGCAAUGGGCGAAAGCUUGACGGAGCAACGCCGCGUGAGUGAUGAAGGUCUUCGGAUCGUAAAACUCUGUUAUUAGGGAAGAACAAAUGUGUAAGUAAAUAUGCACGUCUUGACGGUACCUAAUCAGAAAGCCACGGCUAACUACGUG